GAAAGAGUUCCUAGGGAAAGAAGGCAGAGGCAGUCUGUGCUGCAGAAGAAGCCCAAGGCUGAAGACUUAAGAACUGAAUGUUCAACUUGCAAAGGAACUGGAGAGAAUGAGAAUCUCGUCAGAUGUGAUGAAUGCAGACUGUGCUACCAUUUUGGCUGUUUAGAUCCUCCUUUGAAAAAAUCUCCUAAACAAACAGGCUAUGGAUGGAUAUGUCAGGAAUGUGAUUCUUCAUCUUCUAAGUGUACAGCAUGACAUUUUCCUAUAUAUGUGUCAUUGUGAGAUGCAACCCUUUAAGGAAGAUGAAAAUGAAGCUGGAAAGAAAAAUGCAUCUCAGGAGCUCAGCAUGGAGCAGAAAAACCCAAAGAAAUAAUGAAGGAUGGUCUAGUGUUUUCUGAAGAGUUUACAACUUACGCUGAGGCUGAUAACAUUUCUAAUUUGUAAAAUGUUAAUUGUAAAAUCUAAUUAACAAAACUCUUCUCAAUAAAGUCCUUGAAAUAGGA
This 500-nucleotide long non-coding RNA is filed under the name Rattus norvegicus (Norway rat). RNAcentral describes it as "long non-coding RNA NONRATT020245". The record is from RNAcentral. Lineage: Eukaryota; Metazoa; Chordata; Mammalia; Rodentia; Muridae.